RNAcentral lists this ribosomal RNA (274 nucleotides) under uncultured bacterium. RNAcentral describes it as "partial 16S ribosomal RNA". It matches the Rfam family "Bacterial small subunit ribosomal RNA", at positions 523 to 796 of the family's 1533-position model. The record is from RNAcentral.
AUACGGAGGGUGCAAGCGUUACUCGGAAUCACUGGGCGUAAAGCGCGCGCAGGCGGUCUUUUAAGUUGGAUGUGAAAGCCUACGGCUCAACCGUAGAACUGCAUCCAAAACUAGUAGACUAGAGUGUGGGAGAGGAAGAUGGAAUUAGUUGUGUAGGGGUAAAAUCCGUAGAGAUAACUAGGAAUACCAAAAGCGAAGGCAAUCUUCUGGAACACUACUGACGCUGAGGCGCGAAAGCGUGGGGAGCAAACGGGAUUAGAUACCCCAGUAGUCC